RNAcentral lists this long non-coding RNA (613 nucleotides) under Rattus norvegicus (Norway rat). RNAcentral's name for it is "long non-coding RNA NONRATT022652". The record is from RNAcentral. Lineage: Eukaryota; Metazoa; Chordata; Mammalia; Rodentia; Muridae.
UUUCAUUUCGAGCAGGUCAUUUCUUCUAUCUCUCUGGGCUGGAAAAAACUGCAUGGCAGGUUUUCACCACUGACUUCUCCCCAUGGCUCUGGAGGGACUCAGGGCCAAGAAGAGACUCCUGUGGCGACUCUUCCUGUCUGCGUUUGGUCUCCUAGGCCUGUACCAUUACUGGUUCAAGAUUUUCAGGCUCUUUGAAGUGUUCAUCCCCAUGGGCAUCUGCCCUAUGGCCAUCAUGCCUCUGCUAAAGGACAAUUUCACCGGAGUGCUGCGUCACUGGGCCCGGCCUGAAGUCCUGACCUGUACCUCUUGGGGAGCCCCAAUUAUCUGGGAUGAGACCUUCGACCCACACGUAGCUGAGCGAGAGGCGAGACGGCAGAACCUUACCAUUGGACUGACUGUCUUUGCGGUAGGCAGGUAAGGCCCAGAGAGGAGCUCACGCUUCUAGGUAGGGAGCAGAAGGGUGUGCCCACGGACAGGUAUUCAUGAAGCCUUCUUCCAUACCAUGGGAGCUCCUAGGGCAGCUACAGGCUAUAUCCACUUUUUCAGACUCUCGGGCAAGCACAGAAGCACUCUCAGCUGAAGGAAUGUGCCUCAGGUUAGGUUUGGCACAUAC